This 576-nucleotide ribosomal RNA is filed under the name uncultured eukaryote. Its description in RNAcentral is "SSU rRNA". It matches the Rfam family "Eukaryotic small subunit ribosomal RNA", at positions 203 to 786 of the family's 1831-position model. The record is from RNAcentral.
UUCGUUACUUCAAACCUAUCGGACUUCGGUCUGACAUCAAGUGAUAUUGAACAAUUUAGCUGAUCGCACGGUCUAAGAACCGGCGACAUAUCCUUCAGAUGUCUGCCUUAUCAACUUUCGAUGGUAGAUUAUGCGCCUACCAUGGUUGUAACGGGUAACGGAGAAUCAGGGUUUGAUUCCGGAGAGGGAGCCUGAGAAACGGCUACCACAUCCAAGGAAGGCAGCAGGCACGCAAAUUACCCACUCCCGGCACGGGGAGGUAGUGACGAAAAAUAACAAGCUGGUCUCAAUGAGUUCUAGCAUUGUAAUGGGAACAAUUUAAAUCUUUUAUCGAGGAUCUAUUGGAGGGCAAGUCUGGUGCCAGCAGCCGCGGUAAUUCCAGCUCCAAUAGCGUAUAUUAAAGUUGUUGCGGUUAGAAAGCUCGUAGUUGGAUCUAGGAUUAGGGCUACGGUCGUUCAGCUUGGACGUACUGUAUGCCCGACUCCUUUUCUCUAGUAUUCGAUUGUUGCUCUUAAAUGAGUGACUUUAGUUGCUGGAACUUUUACCUUGAAAAAAUUGAAGUGCUCAAAGCAGGUU